UACGUAGGUGGCAAGCGUUAUCCGGAUUUAUUGGGCGUAAAGGGAACGCAGGCGGUCUUUUAAGUCUGAUGUGAAAGCCUUCGGCUUAACCGGAGUAGCGCAUUGGAAACUGGGAGACUUGAGUGCAGAAGAGGAGAGUGGAACUCCAUGUGUAGCGGUGAAAUGCGUAGAUAUAUGGAAGAACACCAGUGGCGAAAGCGGCCCUCUGGUCUGUAACUGACGCUGAGGUUCGAAAGCGUGGGUAGCAAACAGG
RNAcentral lists this ribosomal RNA (253 nucleotides) under uncultured bacterium. RNAcentral's name for it is "partial 16S ribosomal RNA". It matches the Rfam family "Bacterial small subunit ribosomal RNA", at positions 524 to 776 of the family's 1533-position model. The record is from RNAcentral.